RNAcentral lists this ribosomal RNA (320 nucleotides) under uncultured eukaryote. RNAcentral describes it as "partial 18S ribosomal RNA". It matches the Rfam family "Eukaryotic small subunit ribosomal RNA", at positions 1470 to 1796 of the family's 1831-position model. The record is from RNAcentral.
CCCUUAGAUGUUCUGGGCUGCACGCGCGCCACACUGACAUACUCAGCAAGUUUCCUUGCCUGAAAGGGUUGGGUAAUCUUGUUAGUGUAUGUCGUGAUGGGGAUAGAAUAUUGUAAUUAUUGCUCUUUAACGAGGAAUUCCUAGUAAGCGCAAGUCAUCAGCUUGCGUUGAUUACGUCCCUGCCCUUUGUACACACCGCCCGUCGCUCCUACCGAUUGGGUGAUCCGGUGAAUGAUUCGGACUCUGGCUAUGCUAGCUACUAGCUACGUCAGGGAAAGUUUUGUGAACCUUAUCACUUGGAGGAAGGAGAAGUCGUAACA